ACGUGCUAAUCUGCGAUAAGCGUCGGUAAGGUGAUAUGAACCGUUAUAACCGGCGAUUUCCGAAUGGGGAAACCCAGUGUGUUUCGACACACUAUCAUUAACUGAAUCCAUAGGUUAAUGAGGCGAACCGGGGGAACUGAAACAUCUAAGUACCCCGAGGAAAAGAAAUCAACCGAGAUUCCCCCAGUAGCGGCGAGCGAACGGGGAGCAGCCCAGAGCCUGAAUCAGUGUGUGUGUUAGUGGAAGCGUCUGGAAAGGCGUGCGAUACAGGGUGACAGCCCCGUACACAAAAAUGCACAUGCUGUGAGCUCGAUGAGUAGGGCGGGACACGUGGUAUCCUGUCUGAAUAUGGGGGGACCAUCCUCCAAGGCUAAAUACUCCUGACUGACCGAUAGUGAACCAGUACCGUGAGGGAAAGGCGAAAAGAACCCCGGCGAGGGGAGUGAAAAAGAACCUGAAACCGUGUACGUACAAGCAGUGGGAGCACGCUUAGGCGUGUGACUGCGUACCUUUUGUAUAAUGGGUCAGCGACUUAUAUUCUGUAGCAAGGUUAACCGAAUAGGGGAGCCGAAGGGAAACCGAGUCUUAACUGGGCGUUAAGUUGCAGGGUAUAGACCCGAAACCCGGUGAUCUAGCCAUGGGCAGGUUGAAGGUUGGGUAACACUAACUGGAGGACCGAACCGACUAAUGUUGAAAAAUUAGCGGAUGACUUGUGGCUGGGGGUGAAAGGCCAAUCAAACCGGGAGAUAGCUGGUUCUCCCCGAAAGCUAUUUAGGUAGCGCCUCGUGAAUUCAUCUCCGGGGGUAGAGCACUGUUUCGGCAAGGGGGUCAUCCCGACUUACCAACCCGAUGCAAACUGCGAAUACCGGAGAAUGUUAUCACGGGAGACACACGGCGGGUGCUAACGUCCGUCGUGAAGAGGGAAACAACCCAGACCGCCAGCUAAGGUCCCAAAGUCAUGGUUAAGUGGGAAACGAUGUGGGAAGGCCCAGACAGCCAGGAUGUUGGCUUAGAAGCAGCCAUCAUUUAAAGAAAGCGUAAUAGCUCACUGGUCGAGUCGGCCUGCGCGGAAGAUGUAACGGGGCUAAACCAUGCACCGAAGCUGCGGCAGCGACGCUGAUGCGUUGUUGGGUAGGGGAGCGUUCUGUAAGCCUGCGAAGGUGUGCUGUGAGGCAUGCUGGAGGUAUCAGAAGUGCGAAUGCUGACAUAAGUAACGAUAAAGCGGGUGAAAAGCCCGCUCGCCGGAAGACCAAGGGUUCCUGUCCAACGUUAAUCGGGGCAGGGUGAGUCGACCCCUAAGGCGAGGCCGAAAGGCGUAGUCGAUGGGAAACAGGUUAAUAUUCCUGUGCUUGGUGUUACUGCGAAGGGGGGACGGAGAAGGCUAUGUUGGCCGGGCGACGGUUGUCCCGGUUUAAGCGUGUAGGCUGGUUUUCCAGGCAAAUCCGGAAAAUCAAGGCUGAGGCGUGAUGACGAGGCACUACGGUGCUGAAGCAACAAAUGCCCUGCUUCCAGGAAAAGCCUCUAAGCAUCAGGUAACAUCAAAUCGUACCCCAAACCGACACAGGUGGUCAGGUAGAGAAUACCAAGGCGCUUGAGAGAACUCGGGUGAAGGAACUAGGCAAAAUGGUGCCGUAACUUCGGGAGAAGGCACGCUGAUAUGUAGGUGAAGUCCCUCGCGGAUGGAGCUGAAAUCAGUCGAAGAUACCAGCUGGCUGCAACUGUUUAUUAAAAACACAGCACUGUGCAAACACGAAAGUGGACGUAUACGGUGUGACGCCUGCCCGGUGCCGGAAGGUUAAUUGAUGGGGUCAGCGCAAGCGAAGCUCUUGAUCGAAGCCCCGGUAAACGGCGGCCGUAACUAUAACGGUCCUAAGGUAGCGAAAUUCCUUGUCGGGUAAGUUCCGACCUGCACGAAUGGCGUAAUGAUGGCCAGGCUGUCUCCACCCGAGACUCAGUGAAAUUGAACUCGCUGUGAAGAUGCAGUGUACCCGCGGCAAGACGGAAAGACCCCGUGAACCUUUACUAUAGCUUGACACUGAACAUUGAGCCUUGAUGUGUAGGAUAGGUGGGAGGCUUUGAAGUGUGGACGCCAGUCUGCAUGGAGCCGACCUUGAAAUACCACCCUUUAAUGUUU
This 2134-nucleotide ribosomal RNA is filed under the name Escherichia coli. Its description in RNAcentral is "partial 23S ribosomal RNA". It matches the Rfam family "Bacterial large subunit ribosomal RNA", at positions 56 to 2215 of the family's 2925-position model. The record is from RNAcentral. Lineage: Bacteria; Pseudomonadati; Pseudomonadota; Gammaproteobacteria; Enterobacterales; Enterobacteriaceae.